UUAAAAUGAUAAACAGGGAUGUCUCUGGC
This 29-nucleotide non-coding RNA is filed under the name Mus musculus (house mouse). Lineage: Eukaryota; Metazoa; Chordata; Mammalia; Rodentia; Muridae. The record is from RNAcentral.